Non-coding RNA from Schizosaccharomyces pombe (fission yeast), 795 nucleotides. NCBI's taxonomy places the organism in Eukaryota, Fungi, Ascomycota, Schizosaccharomycetes, Schizosaccharomycetales, Schizosaccharomycetaceae. The record is from the annotation of a GenBank genome assembly.
AUUUAUUCUUCUUAAAGUUUAUUUUUCUCUACUAUAUAAAGAAUCACUGUACAUGCCUUUAUAAUGUCCUCUCUCAUUUCUAAAUCAACUUGAUACCGUGUAAGGCCUUCAGGAUUUACGGUCUUAUUACCUAGUUGGUAGCUUCACUGGGGUUAGUAACUAAGAUGAAAUCAUGAACUUACGCUUGUAAUUUGUCCAUUGAAAAAGUAUACAUAUCUCUACAUGAUUUUGUUAAAAUUUGGUCAACCAAGUACGACUAGACAUACCUAAUAUCAUCAAGAUAUAUAGGUGUAGAAUUAUACACCUUCCCAAUCACUUCAUUGCAUCUAGUACAACUCAACUCUGAAUAGACGCUAUAAUUUUUGUAUUAGUAAACUGGCGAGCAACACAUGCAACAUACCAAAGACCAUCAUCACUCCUUUUAAACGUAUCCUCAACGCGUACACUAUUUUCUACUGCAUCUAAAUGAAAUAAUUAAUUACAUGGACAUUUCUUUUACCACAUACCACUCAAAGUGAAACUAAGAUAUUCUCGAUGAGAAAUAACCCAAGCAUUAGAAUCACCAACUAUUUGAAAACAUUUUUUACAUUGGAAGACGCUAGGUUGUGACUCUUUUUUAAAAUCAAUAUAGCCCGAAUGACUAGUUUCCGUCUGGGACAUACUUAUGGAAAGUUCAUUUUAUCUAGUAGUAGUCGUUAUUAAUUAGGUGCGCUUAACAUUCUAUAUAUGGUGAACCAAUAUAUAUCAGAUGUAGAAGCAAAAAUUAAAUAUAUUACAAAAUUAUAAAAAAAUAAA